Molecule: ribosomal RNA, 301 nt
Filed under: uncultured bacterium
Lineage: Bacteria
Description: partial 16S ribosomal RNA
Rfam family: Bacterial small subunit ribosomal RNA
Source: RNAcentral
CAGUAGCCGCGGUAAUACGGAGGGUGCAAGCGUUAAUCGGAAUUACUGGGCGUAAAGCGCACGCAGGCGGUUUGUUAAGUCAGAUGUGAAAUCCCCGAGCUUAACUUGGGAACUGCAUUUGAAACUGGCAAGCUAGAGUCUUGUAGAGGGGGGUAGAAUUCCAGGUGUAGCGGUGAAAUGCGUAGAGAUCUGGAGGAAUACCGGUGGCGAAGGCGGCCCCCUGGACAAAGACUGACGCUCAGGUGCGAAAGCGUGGGGAGCAAACAGGAUUAGAUACCCCUGUAGUCCCUGUCUCUUAUAC